UACAGAGGGUGCUAGCGUUGUUCGGAAUCAUUGGGCGUAAAGGGCGUGUAGGCGGUUUGUUAAGUCAUGUGUGAAAGCCCCCGGCUCAACCGGGGAACGACGCAUGAAACUGGCAAGCUAGAGUACCGAAGAGGGGGGUGGAAUUCCCGGUGUAGCGGUGAAAUGCGUAGAUAUCGAGAGGAACACCUGCGGCGAAGGCGGGUAGCUGGGCCGACACUGACGCUGAGGCGCGAAAGCCAGGGGAGCGAACGGG
Molecule: ribosomal RNA, 253 nt
Filed under: uncultured bacterium
Lineage: Bacteria
Description: partial 16S ribosomal RNA
Rfam family: Bacterial small subunit ribosomal RNA
Source: RNAcentral